UUCUUUAAAAUUAAAAAUUUUGGCGGUAUUUUAGUCUUUUCAGAGGAACCUGUUUUUUAAUCGAUAGUCCACGAUGAGUUUUACUUUAUUUAUAAAUUUACAUAUCGUCGUUUACAAAAAUUUUAUUAUUUAAUUUUUUCAGAUCAAGGUGUAGUUAAUAUUAAAGUUAAAAUGGGUUACAUUGAAAAUUGUAAUUAAAAUGGAUUUGAAAGUAAGCUCUAAAAUAUGCACAUAUCGCCCGUCGCUUUCGUUAUAAAAUGAAAUAAGUCGUAACAAAGUAGACUUAUUGGAAAAUGGGUCUAGAAUGCAAAUUAGAGCUUGAUAAGUAUUUUAUUUACAUUAAAAAGUUAAUUGUGGAAUUCAAUUUAAUUUGAGUUUGUAAUAUUAUUAAAUUAAAUUAAGUUAAUAGAAUUAAUUGUGGUUUUAUUAUUUUUUGAAUAAAUUUAUUUAUAGAUUAGGGUAUAGUGAUAGAGUUAUGUAAAAUUUUAAUAAGAAAAUUUUAUUUAUUGUACCUUGUGUCUCAGGGUUGAUUAAUUUAUAUUUCCCGAAUUUAAAAGAGUUAAUUUUAUUGUGAAAUAAAUAUUUAUAAUUAUUAAUUGGAAAUGAAAUGUUAUUCGUUUUUAAAUAUAUCUGGUUUUUUAAGAAAUGAAUUAAAUUUAUUUAUUAUUAUUAAUUUUAUUGAGGGAUAAGCUUUUAAGAAUAUACUUAUAAAUUAAUUUACAUAUAGAAAUUAUAGGAUUAGAAUUUUCCAUUUUUAAGAAAAUGUUAUAAUUAAUUAUUUUAGUUUUUUUAUUAAAAUUUUAAUUUUAAUAUUUAUUAUUAAGUAAUAAUGAUUAAAUUAGUAAGGUUAUUUUAAGGAAUUCGGCAAAAUUGUUUUCACCUGUUUAAUAAAAACAUGUCUUUUUGAAUAUUAUUUAAAGUCUUGCCUGCCCAAUGAUUUAAUGGCUGCAGUAUUUUGACUGUACAAAGGUAGCAUAAUCAUUAGUUUUUUAAUUGAAAGCUGGUAUGAAUGGUUUGAUGAGAAAUAAGCUGUCUCUAUAAUUUUAAUUUUAAGUGAAAAAGCUUAAAUUUUAUACAAAGACGAGAAGACCCUAUAGAGUUUUUUGAUUGGGGUGAUUUAAAAAUUGAUAUAACUUUUUAUUUUUGUGGUUAUUUGAUCCUGGAUUAUAAGAAUAAAUUACCUUAGGGAUAACAGCGUAAUUUUUUUUUGAAGUUCUU
Molecule: ribosomal RNA, 1218 nt
Filed under: Coripera sp. NLG-2012
Lineage: Eukaryota; Metazoa; Arthropoda; Insecta; Coleoptera; Tenebrionidae
Description: partial 16S ribosomal RNA
Source: RNAcentral